This 57-nucleotide transfer RNA is filed under the name Ovis aries (sheep). The record is from Rfam by way of RNAcentral. Lineage: Eukaryota; Metazoa; Chordata; Mammalia; Artiodactyla; Bovidae.
UGGCUCAGAUGGUAAAAGCAUCUGCCUACAAUGCAGGAGACCUGGGUUCAAUCCCUG